RNAcentral lists this ribosomal RNA (460 nucleotides) under uncultured bacterium. Its description in RNAcentral is "partial 16S ribosomal RNA". It matches the Rfam family "Bacterial small subunit ribosomal RNA", at positions 338 to 795 of the family's 1533-position model. The record is from RNAcentral.
CCUACGGGGAGCUGCAGUGAGGAAUAUUGGUCAAUGGGCGCGAGCCUGAACCAGCCAUGUAGCGUGAAGGAUGACUGCCCUACGGGUUGUAAACUUCUUUUAUAAAGGAAUAAAGUGAGGCACGUGUGCCUUUUUGUAUGUACUUUAUGAAUAAGGAUCGGCUAACUCCGUGCCACCAGCCGCGGUAAUACGGCGGAUCCGAGCGUUAUCCGGCUUUAUUGGGUUUAAAGGGAGCGUACAUGGGUUGUUAAGUCAGUUGUGAAAGUUUGCGGCUCAACCGUAAAAUUGCAAUUGAUACUGGCAGCCGUGAGUACAGUUGAGGUAGGCGGAAUUCGUGGUGUAGCGGUGAAAUGCUUAGAUAUCACGAAGAACUCCGAUUGCGAAGGCAGCCUACUAAACUGCCACUGACAUUGAUGCUCGAAAGUGUGGGUAUCAAACAGGAUUAGAUACCCCUGUAGUC